AUGGAUGGAGCGCGGAGGACCCGGGGCCCCGUCGGGUGCCGUGCAGCAGCUGGUGUUGUGAAUCAGGCCGUCGCCAGUCGGAGAACGGCUACUUCACAACACCAGGGUGGCACCGCACCACGCUUCGACCGCCGGCCGGGGAGGAGCGGAGGUUCCCCAGGACGGACGGGCACACGGCAAGGGGGAGCACGGCCUCGCUGCCUCUGCCCCCAGCCCAGACCUGCAAAGGUAAUCAGGUGCUCAACUCCUAUUUAGGCACCAGCCUCCCACGGCAGUCUGAAAUAGAAGUUAGGCCCCUAAAUAUCUCUGCGGGUCUGGCCCCGAGGCGCCCGGCCUCGCUGCGUGGCGCGGGGCAGUCCUUUCGCAGCUUCUGGCAGUGGGUGGUGGGAAGCUGCGGGGUGAGCACAGCCCCUGCGUGCUCCACGUGUAGCCCAGCGGACACCUCGUGGCGUGUUGUCCUGUAAAAGGUGCUGUAGGCAGCGGGGAAGAAGCCAGGCUCCUUGGAAAUGACACUGCAGCAGCCCCAGGUGCAUUGUAAUGAACGACAAAGUACCGAAAAUAAAGAGUGGGGUUGGCCAGAAGUGGUGCCAUCGUCUGCUGUUGUUAAAACAGAGGAAAUGUUUGAGUUUGCAUUGCUUGACAACCCCCCAAAAAAUGGCUAUUAGACCCACACUGUCCAGAGGGGCCCUAUAACACUUGCCCUGUGUUUCAGGUCUGAAUUUCAGGCUCUCCUACCUCCUCCCUCAUACCAUAAGGCCCACGUGCUCUUAGCUUUAAGGGCUGCAGGGCAGCACUUCCCACCUGGAGCCACGUCGUGUUCGUGGAGGUCCACAAAAGCUGAUGGCUGUGUGCACCCAGAGUUCUGGCUGCUGGGAUGGAAAACCCUCACGUGUGCUGGGUUUCUGGUAGCCCCCCAGACUGGAAGCCCUUGCAGUUUGUGGAUACCCAUGGAAAGCUUCCUGGUGCUUUAUGGAUCCUUUUUGGUACUUGUGGUCUGUUUCUUCCCAAAAUACCACAUCAGAAUUGUUGAAAGACCUACUUUUGUAGUCUUAGUUUGGUGAUGGGGUUAGAGCAAAGCCUAUCAAAACUGAAACGUGGGGCUGUAAUCUCGUGAGAUUAUUAUUAUUAUUUCUAAAGGGUUGUUACUCUGAAAGUGCUUUUUAUAUUUAAGCAAACAAUACUUAAUUUCACCCUUGAACCCUUUAAAAUCUGAAUCUGAUGGAUUUAUUUAUUCAGUGCAUCUGUGUUGUACUAUAGCUGUUUUUCUAUUAUUUUGAAUGACUGACUCUUGUUUCUUUCUUCCACUUGCCAGCAGUGCAUGCAGCACUUCAGAGAGUAGCAUCCUUGUGAAUUUUGCACUCUCUCCCACAUGCAGAAGCCAUGAUGACAGGCACAGGAGGGCUAAGCAGCUCUCAUGUUGUGUUUUCACAUGCAUGCUGCUUUGUUAUUGUGGAGUUCCUCAUGAAAUGUGGCAUUAAUGGGUUUCUUUUUCAACUCUUUAAUAGGGCUUCCUCUUUUGCAAACAACUAAUAUGAAAUUAAAAUGAUAUUUCAGACCAUUGAAAUACCAACAUUAAAAAACAAAAAGGAGGUGGGACUGAACUGUUGUAUCCACAAA
Non-coding RNA from Anas platyrhynchos (mallard), 1617 nucleotides. Lineage: Eukaryota; Metazoa; Chordata; Aves; Anseriformes; Anatidae. The record is from RefSeq and is a predicted model, not a curated record.